AACGUAGGAGGCUAGCGUUAUCCGGAUUUAUUGGGCGUAAAGCGCGUGCAGGCGGUUUGAUAAGUUGGAUGUGAAAUCUCCCGGCUUAACUGGGAGCGGUCGUUCAAAACUAUCAGACUAGAGAAUGGGAGAGGAAGGUGGAAUUCCGGGUGUAGUGGUGAAAUGCGUAGAUAUCCGGAGGAACACCAGUGGCGAAAGCGGCCUUCUAGACCAUUUCUGACGCUAAGACGCGAAAGCUAGGGUAGCAAACGGGAUUAGAAACCCUCGUAGUCC
Molecule: ribosomal RNA, 273 nt
Filed under: uncultured prokaryote
Description: partial 16S ribosomal RNA
Rfam family: Bacterial small subunit ribosomal RNA
Source: RNAcentral